RNAcentral lists this ribosomal RNA (499 nucleotides) under uncultured bacterium. RNAcentral's name for it is "partial 16S ribosomal RNA". It matches the Rfam family "Bacterial small subunit ribosomal RNA", at positions 28 to 523 of the family's 1533-position model. The record is from RNAcentral.
GAUGAACGCUAGCGGCAGGCCUAAUACAUGCAAGUCGAGCGGCAAGUUGAGAAGCAAUUCGAGACUUAGAGCGGCGUACGGGUGCGUAACGCGUACGCAACCUACCUCAUACAGGGGGAUAGCCCGGAGAAAUCUGGAUUAAUACCCCAUAGUACAUAUAGAGGGCAUCUGAAAUAUGUUAAAGAUUCAUCGGUAUGAGAUGGGCAUGCGUCUGAUUAGCUAGUUGGCGGUGUAACGGACCACCAAGGCGACGAUCAGUAGGGGUUCUGAGAGGAAGGUCCCCCACAACGGAACCGCAAUACGGCCAAGACUCCUAAGGGAGGCAGCAGUAGGGAAUAUUGGGCAAGGGUCGGAAGACUGACCCAGCCAUGCCGCGUGCAGGAAGAAGGCCCUCUGGGUUGUAGACUGCUUUUAUCUGGGAAGAAAAGGCCCGUGCGCGGGACAUUGCCGGUACCAGAUGAAUAAGCACCGGCUAACUCCGUGCCAGCAGCCGCCGCGG